Molecule: long non-coding RNA, 472 nt
Organism: Oncorhynchus tshawytscha (Chinook salmon)
Lineage: Eukaryota; Metazoa; Chordata; Actinopteri; Salmoniformes; Salmonidae
Source: Ensembl
GGAUGUUGUAGUGGCAACUGCUGUUGAGGUACCAGCUGCAGUUGUGGUGGCAUUGGCUGUUGUAGUGUGGGCUGCAGUUGUGGUGACAGGUGAAGUUUUAGUAGCAGCUGCAGUUGUAGUAGCAGCCUCUGUUGUAAGAGUGACUGCAGUUGUGGUGGCAGAAAUUGUUGAAGUGUGGGUGGCAGUUGUGGUUUUAGGGGAAGUUGUAGUGGCAACUGCUGUUGUAGUACCAGCUGCAGUUGUGGUGGCAUUGGCUGUUGUAGUACCAGCUGCAGUUGAGGUGGCAUUGGCUGUUGUAGUAUGGGCUGCAGUUGUGGUUAGAGGGGAAGUUGUAGUGGCAACUGAUGUUGAGGUACCAGCUGCAGUUGUGGUGGCAUUGGCUGUUGUAGUGUGGGCUGCAGUUGUGGUGACAGGUGAAGUUGUAGUUGCAGCUGCAGUUGUAGUGUUAGCCUCUGUCGUAAGAGUGGCGGCA